Long non-coding RNA from Acipenser ruthenus (sterlet), 532 nucleotides. RefSeq lists it as uncharacterized. The transcript has 2 exons. The record is from RefSeq and is a predicted model, not a curated record. Lineage: Eukaryota; Metazoa; Chordata; Actinopteri; Acipenseriformes; Acipenseridae.
UGAGCUCCAGCACUGAAGUUCAGAGAUCCUGACUUCCGUUACGACAGUUUGGCAGGUGACUCGUGCGCUCAAUUAAACCAGGUUAUCGAAUCAAAACGUUCUGAGGAAGGGUCGCCUUAAAAAAGCAGCAUUUGACGACUGAAAUGGAAACCUGCAAACAACAUGUAACCCAACCAGGAGAGCGGAGCAUCGACCUGUUUGUUAAAGACAAGUGUCUAAUGAUGGCAGCGAGGGGCUCCCAAACAACGCCUCUUGUGAUGGCAGCCCUACAACCAGGGCAAGGCCACAGGAUACAAGAAAGACCUGUACCUGUGUUUUAAUGAUCUACACAGUGCUAGAUCAUAGUUCCCUUGCCAGUACAGUUAUAUUGCACGUUUGUUAAAUAAUUUCAUACCAAACAUUAUAUAAUGUAUGAAGUUCCAGUCUCACAGUCACUGUGCCAUCCAUGUAGUAAAUACUAAUGCAUGGUAACUGGUGUACAGUGUAAUACCUUGCAGUCUUGUAGUCUAUUUCAAUAAAAGACUAAAUUAGA